AACUGAUACUACCUGCGGGAACCUGCGGAGGGAUCAUUAGUGGACGCCCUCACGGGCUUAUAACUAUUCCAAACCUCUGUGAACCGUGCCCUUCGGGGCUAUUUUACAAACAUGGUGUAAUGAACGUCAUAUAUCAUAACAAAACAAAACUUUUAGCAACGGAUCUCU
This 168-nucleotide unclassified non-coding RNA is filed under the name soil metagenome. Its description in RNAcentral is "partial contains 5.8S ribosomal RNA, internal transcribed spacer 2, and large subunit ribosomal RNA". The record is from RNAcentral.